RNAcentral lists this transfer RNA (67 nucleotides) under Marmota monax (woodchuck). RNAcentral's name for it is "tRNA.Ala". Lineage: Eukaryota; Metazoa; Chordata; Mammalia; Rodentia; Sciuridae. The record is from RNAcentral.
GGUGGUGGCUCAGUGGUAGAGCACUUGCCUUGCAUGAGUGAGGCCCUGGGUUCAAUCCUCAGCAGCA